RNAcentral lists this ribosomal RNA (1295 nucleotides) under uncultured bacterium. Its description in RNAcentral is "bacterial SSU rRNA". It matches the Rfam family "Bacterial small subunit ribosomal RNA", at positions 100 to 1389 of the family's 1533-position model. The record is from RNAcentral.
GCACGGGUGAGUAAACACGUAUGCAACUUGCCCCUGUCAGGGGGACAACCCGCCGAAAGGCGGGCUAAACCCGCGUACAUGCCACCGGGGCAUCCCGGAGGCAGGAAAGGCUUCGGCCGGACAGGGAUGGGCAUGCGGCGCAUUAGGCAGUAGGCGGGGUAACGGCCCACCUAACCGACGAUGCGUAGGGGUUCUGAGAGGAAGGUCCCCCACACUGGUACUGAGACACGGACCAGACUCCUACGGGAGGCAGCAGUGAGGAAUAUUGGUCAAUGGUCGGGAGACUGAACCAGCCAAGCCGCGUGAGGGAGGAAGGUACAGAGUAUCGUAAACCUCUUUUGUCAGGGAACAAAGGCGGGGACGUGUCCCCGGAUGAGUGUACCUGAAGAAAAAGCAUCGGCUAACUCCGUGCCAGCAGCCGCGGUAAUACGGAGGAUGCGAGCGUUAUCCGGAUUUAUUGGGUUUAAAGGGUGCGCAGGCGGUCUGUUAAGUCAGCGGUCAAAGCCCGGGGCUCAACCCCGGCCCGCCGUUGAAACUGGCAGUCUCGAGUUGGAGAGAAGUAUGCGGAAUGCGCGGUGUAGCGGUGAAAUGCAUAGAUAUCGCGCAGAACUCCGAUUGCGAAGGCAGCAUGCCGGCUCCACACUGACGCUGAGGCACGAAAGCGUGGGUAUCCAACAAGAUUAGAUNCCCUGGUAGUCCAGCAAGUAAACGAUGAAUGCUGGCUGUCAGAGGGGGACUGACCCCUGGGUGGCGAAGCGAAACGAAUAAGCAUUCCCCCUGGGGGAGUACGCCGGCAACGGUGAAACUCAAAGGAAUUGACGGGGGCCCGCACAAGCGGAGGAACAUGUGGUUUUAAUUGGAUGAUACGCAAGGAACCUUACCCGGGCUCAAACGGGGAGUGGCGCAGGCAGAGACGCCUGUUUCCCACGGGACACUCCCCGAGGUGCUGCAUGGUUGUCGUCAGCUCGUGCCGUGAGGUGUCGGCUUAAGUGCCAUAACGAGCGCAACCCCCGCGUGCAGUUGCUAACAGUCAACGCUGAGGACUCUGCACGGACUGCCGGCGCAAGCCGCGAGGAAGGCGGGGAUGACGUCAAAUCAGCACGGCCCUUACGUCCGGGGCGACACACGUGUUACAAUGGGUGGUACAGCGGGAAGCCAGGCGGCGACGCCGAGCGGAACCCGAAAUCCACUCUCAGUUCGGAUCGGAGUCUGCAACCCGACUCCGUGAAGCUGGAUUCGCUAGUAAUCGCGCAUCAGCCAUGGCGCGGUGAAUACGUUCCCGGGCCUUGCCCACA